CCGAUAGUGAACCAGUACCGUGAGGGAAAGGCGAAAAGAACCCCGGCGAGGGGAGUGAAAAAGAACCUGAAACCGUGUACGUACAAGCAGUGGGAGCACCCUUUGGGUGUGACUGCGUACCUUUUGUAUAAUGGGUCAGCGACUUAUAUUCUGUAGCAAGGUUAACCGAAUAGGGGAGCCGGAGGGAAACCGAGUCUUAAUUGGGCGUUAAGUUGCAGGGUAUAGACCCGAAACCCGGUGAUCUAGCCAUGGGCAGGUUGAAGGUUGGGUAACACUAACUGGAGGACCGAACCGACUAAUGUUGAAAAAUUAGCGGAUGACCUGUGGCUGGGGGUGAAAGGCCAAUCAAACCGGGAGAUAGCUGGUUCUCCCCGAAAGCUAUUUAGGUAGCGCCUCGUGAAUUCAUCUCCGGGGGUAGAGCACUGUUUCGGCUAGGGGGCCAUCCCGGCUUACCAACCCGAUGCAAACUGCGAAUACCGGAGAAUGUUAUCACGGGAGACACACGGCGGGUGCUAACGUCCGUCGUGAAGAGGGAAACAACCCAGACCGCCAGCUAAGGUCCCAAAGUCAUGGUUAAGUGGGAAACGAUGUGGGAAGGCCCAGACAGCCAGGAUGUUGGCUUAGAAGCAGCCAUCAUUUAAAGAAAGCGUAAUAGCUCACUGGUCGAGUCGGCCUGCGCGGAAGAUGUAACGGGGCUAAACCAUGCACCGAAGCUGCGGCAGCGACACUGUGUGUUGUUGGGUAGGGGAGCGUUCUGUAAGCCUGCGAAGGUGGCCUGUGAGGGUUGCUGGAGGUAUCAGAAGUGCGAAUGCUGACAUAAGUAACGAUAAAGCGGGUGAAAAGCCCGCUCGCCGGAAGACCAAGGGUUCCUGUCCAACGUUAAUCGGGGCAGGGUGAGUCGACCCCUAAGGCGAGGCCGAAAGGCGUAGUCGAUGGGAAACGGGUUAAUAUUCCCGUACUUGGUGUUACUGCGAAGGGGGGACGGAGAAGGCUAUGUUGGCCGGGCGACGGUUGUCCCGGUUUAAGCGUGUAGGCUGGUUUUCCAGGCAAAUCCGGAAAAUCAAGGCUGAGGCGUGAUGACGAGGCACUACGGUGCUGAAGCAACAAAUGCCCUGCUUCCAGGAAAAGCCUCUAAGCAUCAGGUAACAUCAAAUCGUACCCCAAACCGACACAGGUGGUCAGGUAGAGAAUACCAAGGCGCUUGAGAGAACUCGGGUGAAGGAACUAGGCAAAAUGGUGCCGUAACUUCGGGAGAAGGCACGCUGACACGUAGGUGAAGUGAUUUACUCAUGGAGCUGAAGUCAGUCGAAGAUACCAGCUGGCUGCAACUGUUUAUUAAAAACACAGCACUGUGCAAACACGAAAGUGGACGUAUACGGUGUGACGCCUGCCCGGUGCCGGAAGGUUAAUUGAUGGGGUCAGCGCAAGCGAAGCUCCUGAUCGAAGCCCCGGUAAACGGCGGCCGUAACUAUAACGGUCCUAAGGUAGCGAAAUUCCUUGUCGGGUAAGUUCCGACCUGCACGAAUGGCGUAAUGAUGGCCAGGCUGUCUCCACCCGAGACUCAGUGAAAUUGAACUCGCUGUGAAGAUGCAGUGUACCCGCGGCAAGACGGAAAGACCCCGUGAACCUUUACUAUAGCUUGACACUGAACAUUGAGCCUUGAUGUGUAGGAUAGGUGGGAGGCUUUGAAGUGUGGACGCCAGUCUGCAUGGAGCCGACCUUGAAAUACCACCCUUUAAUGUUUGAUGUUCUAACGUGGACCCGUUACCCGGGUUGCGGACAGUGUCUGGUGGGUAGUUUGACUGGGGCGGUCUCCUCCUAAAGAGUAACGGAGGAGCACGAAGGUUGGCUAAUCCUGGUCGGACAUCAGGAGGUUAGUGCAAUGGCAUAAGCCAGCUUGACUGCGAGCGUGACGGCGCGAGCAGGUGCGAAAGCAGGUCAUAGUGAUCCGGUGGUUCUGAAUGGAAGGGCCAUCGCUCAACGGAUAAAAGGUACUCCGGGGAUAACAGGCUGAUACCGCCCAAGAGUUCAUAUCGACGGCGGUGUUUGGCACCUCGAUGUCGGCUCAUCACAUCCUGGGGCUGAAGUAGGUCCCAAGGGUAUGGCUGUUCGCCAUUUAAAGUGGUACGCGAGCUGGGUUUAGAACGUCGUGAGACAGUUCGGUCCCUAUCUGCCGUGGGCGCUGGAGAACUGAGGGGGGCUGCUCCUAGUACGAGAGGACCGGAGUGGACGCAUCACUGGUGUUCGGGUUGUCAUGCCAAUGGCACUGCCCGGUAGCUAAAUGCGGAAGAGAUAAGUGCUGAAAGCAUCUAAGCACGAAACUUGCCCCGA
Molecule: ribosomal RNA, 2331 nt
Filed under: Salmonella enterica subsp. enterica serovar Enteritidis
Lineage: Bacteria; Pseudomonadati; Pseudomonadota; Gammaproteobacteria; Enterobacterales; Enterobacteriaceae
Description: partial 23S ribosomal RNA
Rfam family: Bacterial large subunit ribosomal RNA
Source: RNAcentral